RNAcentral lists this RNase P RNA (361 nucleotides) under Fidelibacterota bacterium. RNAcentral's name for it is "RNase P RNA component class A". It matches the Rfam family "Bacterial RNase P class A". From Rfam's summary of the family: Ribonuclease P (RNase P) is a ubiquitous endoribonuclease, found in archaea, bacteria and eukarya as well as chloroplasts and mitochondria. Lineage: Bacteria; Pseudomonadati; Fidelibacterota. The record is from RNAcentral.
AGAGUUAAUCGGAUAGUUACUCUUAAUCCGCUGUAUGUGAAAUUGAGAGAGGAAAGUCCGAGCACCGCAGGAUAGGAUGCCUCCUAACAGGAGGAGUUGCAAAUUGCAAUAUGGAAAGUGCAACAGAAAAUAUACCGCUUCGUUUUUUUCGAAGUAAGGGUGAAAAGGUAGUUUAAGAGACUACCAGGUUUUGUUGUGAGACAAGAUGCUUGUAAACCCCAUUUGGUGCAAGAUCAAGUAUACCUCAAGAUAUUGUCCGUAUCAUUUGAGAGGAGGGUUGAUCGCGUAAUCUACUUAGAAAUAUUUAGAUAAGAUGAAUGACUAUCAAUUACAGAACUCGGCUUAUAGAUUGACUCUUUUU